RNAcentral lists this ribosomal RNA (158 nucleotides) under Borealophlyctis nickersoniae. Its description in RNAcentral is "5.8S ribosomal RNA". The stretch from base 1 to 64 matches the Rfam family "5.8S ribosomal RNA", at positions 91 to 154 of the family's 154-position model. The record is from RNAcentral. Lineage: Eukaryota; Fungi; Chytridiomycota; Chytridiomycetes; Rhizophlyctidales; Borealophlyctidaceae.
AUCAAAUCUUUGAACGCACAUUGCGCUCCUUGGUAUUCCGGGGAGCAUGCCUGUUUCAGAAUCAUUUAAAUCUCUCGACCUUUCUCUGAACGCGAAAGCUGUUUUGAGAAUGUCGGAUAUGGACCUUGUGACUUCUUCUUCAAGGAGGCACUGGUGCU